UCAAGCGAAUAAGCGCACACGGUGGAUGCCUAGGCGGUCAGAGGCGAUGAAGGACGUGGUAGCCUGCGAAAAGUGUCGGGGAGCUGGCAACAAGCUUUGAUCCGGCAAUAUCCGAAUGGGGAAACCCACUGCUUCGGCAGUAUCCUGCAGUGAAUUCAUAGCUGCUGGAAGCGAACCCGGUGAACUGAAAUAUCUAAGUAACCGGAGGAAAAGAAAUCAACCGAGAUUCCCUAAGUAGUGACGAGCGAACGGGGAGCAGCCCUUAAGCUGGAAUGGCUUUAGAAAAACAAUCUGGAAAGAUUGGCCAUAGAAGGUGAUAGCCCUGUAUUUAAAAGGGCCACUCCAGUGAAGACGAGUAGGGCGGGGCACGUGAAACCCUGUCUGAAUAUGGGGGGACCAUCCUCCAAGGCUAAAUACUCCUGACCGACCGAUAGUGAACCAGUACCGUGAGGGAAAGGCGAAAAGAACCCCGGAGAGGGGAGUGAAAUAGAUCCUGAAACCGUGUGCGUACAAGCAGUAGGAGCUCGCAAGAGUGACUGCGUACCUUUUGUAUAAUGGGUCAGCGACUUACUGUUCGUGGCAAGCUUAACCGUAUAGGGGAGGCGAAGGGAAACCGAGUCUGAUAAGGGCGCAUAGUCGCGGGCAGUAGACCCGAAACCGGGUGAUCUAGUCAUGGCCAGGGUGAAGGUGCCGUAACAGGUACUGGAGGCCCGAACCCACGUCUGUUGCAAAAGACGGGGAUGAGCUGUGAUUAGGAGUGAAAAGCUAAUCGAACCCGGAGAUAGCUGGUUCUCCUCGAAAGCUAUUUAGGUAGCGCCUCGGACGAAUACUACUGGGGGUAGAGCACUGUUAUGGCUAGGGGGUCAUCGCGACUUACCAAACCAUUGCAAACUCCGAAUACCAGUACGUACUAUCCGGGAGACACACGGCGGGUGCUAACGUCCGUCGUGAAAAGGGAAACAACCCAGACCCACAGCUAAGGUCCCAAAUUCACUGCUAAGUGGAAAACGAUGUGGAAAGGCAUAGACAGCCAGGAGGUUGGCUUAGAAGCAGCCACCCUUUAAAGAAAGCGUAAUAGCUCACUGGUCGAGUCGGUCUGCGCGGAAGAUUUAACGGGGCUAAGCAGUGAACCGAAGCUUGGGGUGCGUAAAACUUCGGUUUUAUGCGCGGUAGAGGAGCGUUCCGUAAGCCUGCGAAGGUGGAUUGAGAAGUCCGCUGGAGGUAUCGGAAGUGCGAAUGCUGACAUGAGUAACGAUAAUGCGGGUGAAAAGCCCGCACGCCGAAAGCCCAAGGUUUCCUUGCGCAACGUUAAUCGACGCAGGGUUAGUCGGUCCCUAAGGCGAGGGCGAAAGCCGUAGUCGAUGGGAAGCAGGUUAAUAUUCCUGCACCUCGCGUGAGUGCGAUGGAGGGACGGAGAAGGUUAGGUGUACCGGGCGUUGGUUGUCCCGGGGAAAGGCGGUAGGUUUGGAUCUUUGGCAAAUCCGGGAUCCUUUAAGACCGAGCACCGAGACGAGCCUUUAUGGCGAAGUCACUGAUACCACGCUUCCAGGAAAAGCUCCUAAGCUUCAGCUCACGAAGACCGUACCGUAAACCGACACAGGUGGGUAGGAUGAGAAUUCUCAGGCGCUUGAGAGAACUCGGGUGAAGGAACUAGGCAACAUGGCACCGUAACUUCGGGAGAAGGUGCACCCUUUUUGGUGGCUCAUGCGAGCUAUAGCUGAAGAGGGUCGCAGAAACCAGGCCGCUGCGACUGUUUAUCAAAAACACAGCACUCUGCAAACACGAAAGUGGACGUAUAGGGUGUGACGCCUGCCCGGUGCUGGAAGGUUAAUUGAUGGGGUCAGCCGCAAGGCGAAGCUCUUGAUCGAAGCCCCAGUAAACGGCGGCCGUAACUAUAACGGUCCUAAGGUAGCGAAAUUCCUUGUCGGGUAAGUUCCGACCUGCACGAAUGGCGUAACGACAGCGGCGCUGUCUCCACCCGAGACUCAGUGAAAUUGAAAUCGCUGUGAAGAUGCAGCGUCCCCGUGGCAAGACGGAAAGACCCCGUGAACCUUUACUAUAGCUUUACACUGAACGUUGAGUUCGUCUGUGUAGGAUAGGUGGGAGGCUAUGAAACUGUGGCGCUAGCUGCAGUGGAGCCAUCCUUGAAAUACCACCCUGUCGUGCUUGACGUUCUAACCUAGAUCCGUUAUCCGGAUCAGGGACCGUGUAUGGUGGGUAGUUUGACUGGGGCGGUCUCCUCCUAAAGAGUAACGGAGGAGCACGAAGGUACGCUCAGCGCGGUCGGACAUCGCGCACUGUGUGCAAAGGCAUAAGCGUGCUUGACUGCAAGAUCGACGGAUCAAGCAGGUACGAAAGUAGGUCUUAGUGAUCCGGUGGUUCUGUAUGGAAGGGCCAUCGCUCAACGGAUAAAAGGUACUCCGGGGAUAACAGGCUGAUACCGCCCAAGAGUUCAUAUCGACGGCGGUGUUUGGCACCUCGAUGUCGGCUCAUCACAUCCUGGGGCUGUAGUCGGUCCCAAGGGUAUGGCUGUUCGCCAUUUAAAGUGGUACGCGAGCUGGGUUCAGAACGUCGUGAGACAGUUCGGUCCCUAUCUGCCAUGGGCGUUGGAAGUUUGAGAGGGGCUGCUCCUAGUACGAGAGGACCGGAGUGGACGAACCUCUGGUGUUCCGGUUGUCACGCCAGUGGCAUUGCCGGGUAGCUAUGUUCGGAAGCGAUAACCGCUGAAAGCAUCUAAGCGGGAAGCGCGCCUCAAGAUGAGACUUCCCGGGGCACAAGCCCCCUAAAGGAACCAUAUAGACUAUGUGGUUGAUAGGUCAGGUGUGUAAGUACAGCAAUGUAUUGAGCUAACUGAUACUAAUGAUCCGUGCGGCUUGACCAU
This 2881-nucleotide ribosomal RNA is filed under the name Xanthomonas hortorum ATCC 19865. RNAcentral's name for it is "bacterial LSU rRNA". It matches the Rfam family "Bacterial large subunit ribosomal RNA". The record is from RNAcentral. Lineage: Bacteria; Pseudomonadati; Pseudomonadota; Gammaproteobacteria; Lysobacterales; Lysobacteraceae.